RNAcentral lists this ribosomal RNA (467 nucleotides) under uncultured bacterium. Its description in RNAcentral is "partial 16S ribosomal RNA". It matches the Rfam family "Bacterial small subunit ribosomal RNA", at positions 28 to 507 of the family's 1533-position model. The record is from RNAcentral.
GAUGAACGCAGGCGGCGUGCUUAACACAUGCAAGUCGAACGGAAAGGCCCAAGCUUGCUUGGGUACUCGAGUGGCGAACGGGUGAGUAACACGUGGGUGAUCUGCCCUGCACUUCGGGAUAAGCCUGGGAAACUGGGUCUAAUACCGGAUAGGACCACAUUUUGGAUGGUGUGGUGGAAAGUUUUUCGGUGUGGGAUGAGCUCGCGGCCUAUCAGCUUGUUGGUGGGGUAAUGGCCUACCAAGGCGUCGACGGGUAGCCGGCCUGAGAGGGUGUACGGCCACAUUGGGACUGAGAUACGGCCCAGACUCCUACGGGAGGCAGCAGUGGGGAAUAUUGCACAAUGGGCGCAAGCCUGAUGCAGCGACGCCGCGUGGGGGAUGACGGCCUUCGGGUUGUAAACUCCUUUCGCUAGGGACGAAGCGUUUUUGUGACGGUACCUGGAGAAGAAGCACCGGCUAACUACGUG